Molecule: long non-coding RNA, 2658 nt
Filed under: Triticum aestivum (bread wheat)
Lineage: Eukaryota; Viridiplantae; Streptophyta; Magnoliopsida; Poales; Poaceae
Description: long non-coding RNA (TAES_LNC001443)
Source: RNAcentral
AGGAACACUUCAAUAUUGAACCAUGGGUCUUGUAUGAAAACAUUCCUCGCCUCCUGACCACAGAGGUGGUUUGAGUGGUAAUCAUCAGUGAAGCCUGAAAACAAGGAUGUGCAUAAAUAUCUUCUCUAUAUUGGAAACAGGGCAAAUGAAUACAAAAAGGCAAGGUAUAAUAAUUAGUACCAUCUUCUAAACCUCAGUGCUUCCCAUUGUUUCCCUGCAACACAUAUAAGAUAGUUAGUCAUCAGGUUAAGUAAGGGUUCACAUGCUAUCAGUAAAAUAUGUUAAUGAAAAAUAAGCACAUUGCAGAUUCAUCAGAUUAAUUCAAGCCACAUGGAAAACCCAUUUAGCCAAACAAAGCAUGAUUAAGAACUAGGAAAUAUAGCACUUGUAUACGUUUCUCAUCUAUUAAGUGUAGCGAAAUUCGAUUUAUUCCUCACAUGGUAUACAACUAGUACAAAUGACCGUGCGUUGCAACAAGCGAAAUAAAAAACACCAAACCUGCUCUGCGUGUCAUUACUCACUAUUUCUUAUAUCCAUUUCUAAUAAGCGUCAAUAAUAAGUUUAAACUGAUUAUCGCUUUUGGGAGCAUGAAAUAUGUCCUUCCCACCGGAAGGAUGACUAAAGAUCCCCACAAGCUCACGCCCUCUGUUUCAACACUGGCCCAUUUGUAAUGAUACUUAUUGUCCUUACCGCCCAUGGCCUUCGAAGUGUUCCACACGACUAAGCUUACCCGCUCGCUCGAUCUUAUUGAAGUGUUUGCGUCAUCUGUCGGCCGACCCCGCCAGUGUAUUAACCUUGCGAGCUCUUCCUCAAACCUUCUCGGCUAGUUUCAGCAGUUCCUAAUGCUUGUUCCAAAUAUACAUAAUUAUAAUCUAAAUUAUGUUGCAUUUAUUUUUAGUAUGCAAUUUAAAAAACACACACACUCGAUGCCCAUACCAGCAAUAUAAAGUUGAGAAAGUCGUAGGGAUGUCAUUGGAUGGCGCCUCCUUCAGCGCACUGUCAUUGGCUGGAAGUGGAAUGUUGUAUUUGUUUCUAGCCACAUAUACAAAUGGUGGAAUUGUUGUAUACUAUUCAAGGGUUUAAUAACUAAUUCAAAAGUUUUUCUUAGAAUUUUCAAAAGAAUUUUUUGGGCGAAAGAGUAAUGGUGCAUUGAAUUGGGAUUGUUUAUAUACAAUUUUUUGUUAAUAUUCGAAAGCAAAGACGUUUCUAUUAUGUUAAUUAUUAUUUUAGAAAAUAUUGGUUAUUUGAUUUGCAAGAUUAUAUUUCGUUCCUUUUCUUUUGCAUUAUUUGAACUUGGCCAACAUCACCAUAAAAAAGCAAGCUUUUAUGUGUUCCCCAUCACAGAUAAAUUUCAAUUGGAUUGUCUACAAAAAAGGUAAACUUCAAGAUGCAUCAUGGCCACAUUCUCUCUACUCUUCAUCCAUCCCUCUCUCUCCUUUCUGUCUCACCAAUGAUGUCGGUAAUAUCCAGAGUUGGGGAAUAUCUUGAUUGUCAAGUCCUGUUGAGCUCCAAAUAUCUUCUCCCUUAAGAACUAUUUAUUCAAAUAUUUUACUCACUUUUAAUUAUUGUAUAUCACAUGAUGUAUUUAUAAGAUGGGGUAGGCAUGGAAAUUAAACUAUAACAGUAACAACAAACAAUAGUAGCCAAUUAUUAUAUUGGUGCUCAUUUAGAAGAAAAAUAAAAUGCAAUCGAUGCUGGCACGUAUAGCAACAUCUAGUAGCUUUUGGUCGGUACUCGGUGCAGCCAACUAAAAAAGCAAUCCACAACGAGAGCUAUCUCCCACUGCGUGCCUUAUCCACAUCUCUUGUUCUCCCUGCAAGCCACACACACACCCACGCGACCGUGCUCUAGUCCAUGGUGCCACAUUCCCCUUCUCUCUUCCCUCCUCUCUUAACUCCUCCGAACUUUCGUCGGCCAGUUGCGGCGCGGCUACGUAUUGGUUCCUGGUGACCGGGCCUGCGCGCGGGGGCGGACUGGGGCUGUGGCGGAGGCGCGGCAGCGGUGGCCGACGGCUGCUUGAUGGGGCCGCGUGGAUCUGCUGCCGGGGAUGCGGCUCGGUGUGGUUGUCUGAGCCCCGAGUUCUCGACACCGAGGUCAGCGCUCCUUGAGAAUUCACGUACAUGCGUCCGCAGCGAGCGGGUGAAAUCGAUCCAGCUGGUUCCCAUCGUAGCUAGCUUGUAUUUAUGUGUGAACCAUUCAGGACUGCUCCAUGUGCAGGCAUGAGUUUUACCAAGCUACCUCUGACUCCUUCGUUUAUUGUUCAGCGUCUAGGCCAUCAAUAAUCCUAAAUCCAUUGCCAAAUCUGAAAGGCAGGUUUGAUGAAUCCAACAACCGGCAGUGGCAAAACCAUUGAGAUAUUGCUUUAUCCAUUCGACAAUUUGCAGUAAUAUAUCUACUUACUUGGCAAUGAUAAACAUAUACUGAUCGAUGAUAUACACUUGUAGAUUAUUGUGAAUUGUACUUACCUGCGCUUAUCUUUUGGUCUGAACAGAGCUUGGUGAUCCAGAGGGUGCUUGUCUCCAUCGGUGGACAUUCGAUGACAAAUGAAAAAAAAUAGAGGCAACCAAUUCAGUGAGGCCGCCCACCCAGCAAAACGCACCGAAGAACCAAUCUUUCUUAACAAGAGAAGAAGGCGACAUGGCCCUCCCAGGAGAGAAG